UGGCAUUACAGACGUUUCUUCUUUACCUCAGUCUUUGGCUGAAACACUAAAGCCCUGCAGUUUUUAAAAGAGCUUGAUCUGAGUAACAAUAAAAUAAGAGACUCAAAGAAGCAGAAGCUCAGUGAUGUGCUACGAGACUCAAACUGUAAACUGAGUCUGGAGAAAGAACAAUCGAUCGGGAGAACUGUUGUGAACUACUUAAGUGGAUUGUUAACUCGGUCUAAAGCUCCGGAGGAUCCUGUGAAAUCAACAGAACAAGACAAGUCAUCAUCAGAUGAGGAAUCCUCAGAAGGUGAAACAGGAGUAGAGGCUGCUGAGCGUG
Molecule: long non-coding RNA, 322 nt
Organism: Cyprinus carpio (common carp)
Lineage: Eukaryota; Metazoa; Chordata; Actinopteri; Cypriniformes; Cyprinidae
Exons: 3
Source: RefSeq, a predicted model, not a curated record